RNAcentral lists this ribosomal RNA (253 nucleotides) under uncultured bacterium. RNAcentral describes it as "partial 16S ribosomal RNA". It matches the Rfam family "Bacterial small subunit ribosomal RNA", at positions 524 to 776 of the family's 1533-position model. The record is from RNAcentral.
GACGUAGGAGGCGAGCGUUAUCCGGAUUCACUGGGCGUAAAGCGCACGUAGGCGGUUGUGCAAGUCAUGUGUUAAAGCCCCUGGCUCAACUGGGGGAGGUCAUGUGAGACUGCGCGACUUGAGGGCAACAGAGGCAUGUGGAACUCCCGGUGUAGCGGUGGAAUGCAUAGAGAUCGGGAAGAACACCCGUGGCGAAGGCGGCAUGCUGGGUUGCGACUGACGCUGAGUUGCGAAAGUGUGGGGAGCAAACGGG